RNAcentral lists this ribosomal RNA (282 nucleotides) under uncultured bacterium. RNAcentral describes it as "partial 16S ribosomal RNA". It matches the Rfam family "Bacterial small subunit ribosomal RNA", at positions 773 to 1060 of the family's 1533-position model. The record is from RNAcentral.
GUGGAUUAGAUACCCUAGUAGUCCACGCCGUAAACGAUGCUAACUCGUUUUUGGGCUUUAGGGUUCAGAGACUAAGCGAAAGUGAUAAGUUAGCCACCUGGGGAGUACGUUCGCAAGAAUGAAACUCAAAGGAAUUGACGGGGGCCCGCACAAGCGGUGGAUUAUGUGGUUUAAUUCGAUGAUACGCGAGGAACCUUACCAAGGCUUAAAUGGGAAUUGACCGGUUUAGAAAUAGACCUUCCUUCGGGCAAUUUUCAAGGUGCUGCAUGGCCGUCGUCAACU